CCUACGGGAGGCUGCAGUGGGGAAUAUUUGGCAAUGGGCGCAAGCCUGACCCAGCAACGCCGCGUGAAGGAAGAAUGCUUUCUGGUUUUAAACUUCUUUUAUCAGGGACGCAGCAAGUGACGGUACCUGAUGAAUAAGCCACAGCUAACUACGUGCCGGCAGCCGCGGUAAUGCGUAGGUGGGAAGCGUUACUCGGAUUUACUGGGUGAAAAGGGCGUGUAGGCGGGAGUGCAAGUAAGAUGGGAAAUCUAUGGGCUCAACCCAUAGCCUGCAUUUGACACUGGACUUCUUGAGUGCGGGAGAGGCAAUCGGAAUUCCGUGUGUAGCGGUGAAAUGCGUAGAUAUACGGAGGAACACCAGUGGCGAAGGCGGAGUGCUGGACAGUAACUGACGCUGAGGCGCGAAAGCGUGGGGAGCAAACAGGAUUAGAUACCCGGGUAGUC
RNAcentral lists this ribosomal RNA (443 nucleotides) under uncultured bacterium. Its description in RNAcentral is "partial 16S ribosomal RNA". It matches the Rfam family "Bacterial small subunit ribosomal RNA", at positions 338 to 795 of the family's 1533-position model. The record is from RNAcentral.